AAUCAGGGUGUUAGGAUUCGGGUCAGUGUGAGUGGUCUUUUCUAUAGAGGAUCUCGGAGGAGAGCUCUUGACAGGCUGAUGCACCGGCAGCUGAUUCCAGAUGAUUGACUGGCAGAUCUUUAAGAAGCGGAGGAACAGUCACUCAUCGCUCGAUGGUCCCAUUUCGUUGGAAACGGCGAGCCGCCGGGAACAAGCCAAGAACCACGCCUGGACAUUAAGAUCCCUCCUGCCGAAGCCAAACAUCUCCCGGAUCCUAGCCCUCCCCUUCAAGCUACGGCCACACGAAAGACAAACCCAAGCAGAACCCCCUACCAUCCUGUGGGACUUAAUUUGUACGAACCAUCUACAAUUAAAAAAACCUUUUCACUAAA
This is a long non-coding RNA of Poecilia latipinna (sailfin molly), 371 nucleotides long. RefSeq lists it as uncharacterized. The transcript has 2 exons. Lineage: Eukaryota; Metazoa; Chordata; Actinopteri; Cyprinodontiformes; Poeciliidae. The record is from RefSeq and is a predicted model, not a curated record.